This 479-nucleotide ribosomal RNA is filed under the name uncultured bacterium. RNAcentral's name for it is "bacterial SSU rRNA". It matches the Rfam family "Bacterial small subunit ribosomal RNA", at positions 28 to 518 of the family's 1533-position model. The record is from RNAcentral.
GAUGAACGCUGGCGGCGUGCAUAACACAUUCAAGUCGAACGGUGAUGAGGACUUCGGUCCUCUGAUCAGUGGCGGACGGGUGAGUAACGCGUGAGCAACCUGCCCUAUAUUGCGGGAUAACAACCGGAAACAGUUGCUAAUACCGCAUGACGUAUUCGGAUCGCAUGUUCUGAAUACGUCAUGCGGUAUUAGCAAGAGAUGAGCUUGCGUCUGAUUAGCUAGUUGGUGAGGUAACGGCUCACCAAGGCGACGAUCGGUAGCCGGACUGAGAGGUUGAACGGCCACAUUGGAACUGAGAUACGGUCCAGACUCCUACGGGAGGCAGCAGUGGGGAAUAUUGGGCAAUGGGCGAAAGCCUGACCCAGCGACGCCGCGUGAGGGAAGAAGAUCUUCGGAUUGUAAACCUUAGUCAACAGGGAAGAAGAAAGUUGACGGUAACCUGUGGAGGAAGCCACGGCUAACUACGUGCCAGCAGCCGC